GGGAGGCAGCAGUAGGGAAUCUUCGGCAAUGGGCGAAAGCCUGACCGAGCAACGCCGCGUGAGUGAGGAAGGCCUUCGGGUUGUAAAACUCUGUUGUUUGGGAAGAAGGGAAAGGGUAGGACCCUUUGGUGACGGUACCAAACGAGAAAGCCCCGGCUAACUACGUGCCAGCAGCCGCGGUAAUACGUAGGGGGCGAGCGUUGUCCGGAAUGAUUGGGCGUAAAGCGCGCGCAGGCGGUCCUUUAAGUCUGAUGUAAAAGCCCGCGGCUUAACCGCGGAAGGUCAUUGGAAACUGGGGGACUUGAGGGUAGGAGAGGGAAGUGGAAUUCCUGGUGUAGCGGUGAAAUGCGUAGAGAUCAGGAGGAAUACCGAUGGCGAAAGCAACUUCCUGGCCUAGAACUGACGCUGAGGCGCGAAAGCGUGGGGAGCAAACAGGAUUAGAUACCCUGGUAGUCCACGCUGUAAACGAUGAGUGCUAGGUGUGAGAGGUUUCAACCCCUUUCGUGCCGCAGAUAACACA
This 520-nucleotide ribosomal RNA is filed under the name uncultured bacterium. RNAcentral's name for it is "bacterial SSU rRNA". It matches the Rfam family "Bacterial small subunit ribosomal RNA", at positions 343 to 859 of the family's 1533-position model. The record is from RNAcentral.